Molecule: ribosomal RNA, 497 nt
Filed under: uncultured bacterium
Lineage: Bacteria
Description: partial 16S ribosomal RNA
Rfam family: Bacterial small subunit ribosomal RNA
Source: RNAcentral
GAUGAACGCUGGCGGCGUGCCUAAUACAUGCAAGUCGAGCGAACAGACGAGGAGCUUGCUCCUCUGACGUUAGCGGCGGACGGGUGAGUAACACGUGGAUAACCUACCUAUAAGACUGGGAUAACUUCGGGAAACCGGAGCUAAUACCGGAUAAUAUAUUGAACCUCAUGGUUCAAUAGUGAAAGACGGUUUUGCUGUCACUUAUAGAUGGAUCCGCGCCGACUUAGCUAGUUGGUAAGGUAACGGCUUACCAAGGCAACGAUGCGUAGCCGACCUGAGAGGGUGAUCGGCCACACUGGAACUGAGACACGGUCCAGACUCCUACGGGAGGCAGCAGUAGGGAAUCUUCCGCAAUGGGCGAAAGCCUGACGGAGCAACGCCGCGUGAGUGAUGAAGGUCUUCGGAUCGUAAAACUCUGUUAUUAGGGAAGAACAAAUGUGUAAGUAACUAUGCACGUCUUGACGGUACCUAAUCAGAAAGCCACGGCUAACUACGUG